AUUCAGCACUACUUAAAACACCCUGGAAACACUACAAUGCUUUCCACUUCCUAAUAAUAUUCCACCAUCACUGAUAACAACGUGUAAUCCCGCACUAUCCUAAAUGACAUGACAUAAUCAUACUAUAAUCCAAACUCUGGAGUUCUUCACCAUUAACUGCCUUCACAUUACAGUGUUUCACACAAACAUAGACUCAUUCUCUCUGCUAAACUACAAUCAGAUUUCAGCAUUCAAUCUUUCUUCUUCCCAUUUAAUAACAAUCAUACUUCCAUUCCAUAAUUCACUUUCAUAAUAUUCAGAAACUCUUAAUCUUCUUAUUCAAAGAAAAUAACAAACAAAAGAAAAGAGAUAGCACCAA
This 358-nucleotide long non-coding RNA is filed under the name Physcomitrium patens. RNAcentral's name for it is "long non-coding RNA (PPAT_LNC002725)". The record is from RNAcentral. Lineage: Eukaryota; Viridiplantae; Streptophyta; Bryopsida; Funariales; Funariaceae.